Molecule: long non-coding RNA, 390 nt
Filed under: Mytilus galloprovincialis (Mediterranean mussel)
Lineage: Eukaryota; Metazoa; Mollusca; Bivalvia; Mytilida; Mytilidae
Source: RNAcentral
GCCCCUUUAAGCAUUUUAUCUUACUCUUUUCAAUGCAACAUAACAAUACAAGUCGUUUAUAAUAUACAUAUUGCCCCUCUAUUCAGUGGAAAAUAUAGGGAGGAGGGUCCACUCCACAUUUGCAUGUGAACUGAAGUAGGUAAUAUUUGAACCUUAUAUCCUAAAAAAAUGCAGAAUUUAUAUACAGUGCAUAUAUGGAUUUGUCUUUGAUCCAACUGAUUUUGAUAUAGCUAUUUGAGUAUGCCAAUAAGUGAAAUCAAAUUCGAACCAUUCAGAUUUCUAAAUAUCACAAGAAAGGAAACAUACAUUCUAGGGAUAUCUGAUGGGUCUACAUGACCGUAACCGAAACACCUCCUUUAGUAUUAGAAAAAGACCAGAUCUGGAUUUGUG